GAUGAACGCUGGCGGCGUGCCUAAUACAUGCAAGUCGAGCGAACAGACGAGGAGCUUGCUCCUCUGACGUUAGCGGCGGACGGGUGAGUAACACGUGGAUAACCUACCUAUAAGACUGGGAUAACUUCGGGAAACCGGAGCUAAUACCGGAUAAUAUAUUGAACCGCAUGGUUCAAUAGUGAAAGACGGUUUUGCUGUCACUUAUAGAUGGCUCCGCGCCGCAUUAGCUAGUUGGUAAGGUAACGGCUUACCAAGGCAACGAUGCGUAGCCGACCUGAGAGGGUGGGGGACAACAGGAGUCAUGCGACCGGUCCCGGCCCCAGGCGGGAGCGAACAGGGGGGUAUCUUCCGGAAGGGGCGAACACCGGAGGGAGCAGCGCGGAGUGGGAGAGAAAGGUGUUCGUAGCUAAAACCUUUUUUAUGGGGGAAAAAAAAAGGUUAAAGUCACUGUGCACGUCUGGAGGGGCCUUAAUAAAAAACCCAGGCCAAACUCCGUC
RNAcentral lists this ribosomal RNA (497 nucleotides) under uncultured bacterium. RNAcentral's name for it is "partial 16S ribosomal RNA". It matches the Rfam family "Bacterial small subunit ribosomal RNA", at positions 28 to 507 of the family's 1533-position model. The record is from RNAcentral.